Long non-coding RNA from Bombina bombina (fire-bellied toad), 1805 nucleotides. RefSeq lists it as uncharacterized. NCBI's taxonomy places the organism in Eukaryota, Metazoa, Chordata, Amphibia, Anura, Bombinatoridae. The transcript is spliced from 2 exons. The record is from RefSeq and is a predicted model, not a curated record.
CUGAGACAGUUUAUUAAGUCCUUACCAUUGCUUACCAAUGUUUAAGACUUUGAUUCCCUUGCUAUAUGUGAACCUAGAACUUCUGUAAAUCUGUUCCCUGAAUCUACUAACACUUAUAUGUUGUGUUCAUUAUUUACUCACUGUUCUUCUUCUUCUUUUUUUUUUCUUGUAAAAAUUAAUGUGGAAAUACAAUCGACUUUGGGAGAGAGCCAGGUCAGAAAUAGGCACUGUUACCAAGGGUGUGCGCAGAUCAGACGGCAGGCAGGAGUGUGCAUAUAAUAGACACAAGGAAGGAGUGUGUGCAGAUCAGACACUAGGAAAAAGUGUGCUCAGAUCAGAUGCAAAGUAGAGGGUACUGUGCACUUAAUGUCCUGAAGACUGACCAGUGACCUGCUGCUGUUAGAAGAUGUACUUACAACAUAUGGAACUUGUCCUACUCUGUAUGCGCCAAAUUAUGUUCUCACGUACAUGGAUGCAACUGAAACACUUAUCUUCAUAUCAGCUGCAACCCGGAAGAAAUAAAGCACCAGGAUUUAUUACUUUCGUGCAAAAGUACUUCAGAGCUGUGGAGAGCACCUCUAAACAACAUAUAAAGCACAUUGAUUCAAUGCUCUAUGGAGAUGUAACUGUGCACUUACAUUACUGUCACUGUAAAGACACCAUACAGAUAGCUAAACAUAUGCAACUGACUGUCAUAAAAAAUAAAACUUCAGCAUUGUACACUACAGUCAUCUGCUGGCCAAACGGAGAGAACAAGUCACUGCACUAAAUAAUUAUUUCCUAUAAGUGGAAAUUUGCUAUCAGACCGAUCAUCAGUCACACAGGUGUCUCUUGCAGCUAAACCACUGAAUACAUAAUCUUUCUUCCCCAAGAAUGGAGCAUAUACUCCCCACCUUAACAGGCAACUGAGCAAGGACACAUUGUCAUGACACCCCUGCCUGACUAAUCAUCCCCCGGCUAAUGGACAACCAGCGUAGCAGCACCUGAUAAAUAAGUUGUGAUUAUAUCUAAACUGAUAUGUCUAGAUAUUAACCCUUGUCUGCAUAUUUAUAAAGUGUAUCUAGAUAUCUUAUUGCAUUUAUUCACUAACUGAAUGUUAUAUUAUUGUUUGUAUCACUCUCACUACACAGUUGGGUUAUACAUUUAUUUGGUCAGUGUUGUCACAAGAACUAUCUUAAGCCAUGGACAUUAUAAUAGUAAUAAUUUGUGGAAUUCUCUGUAUCCUGGAGGGAUGUGUACCCAAUCAGCUGUUAAAGGACCAGUAAAUAUAGUAGAUUUACAUAAUCAAAAAAAUGCAUGAUACAAAUCCAAUGCAAUAGCAAUUAGUAUGAACUUCAAAUGAGUAAUAGAUUUCAAAGUUAUGUCUAUUUCUACUCCUCUUCCAUCAUGUGAUAGCUAUCAGCAAGUCACACAUGCAUAUACUUCUUGCACAUGCUCAGUAGGAGCUGGUGACUCAAAAAGCGUAAAUAUAAAAAGUAACUGCACAUUUUGUUAAUGGAAGUAAAUUGGAAAGUUGUUUAAAAUUGCAUGCUCUAUUUGAAUCAUAAAAGUUUAAUUUUGACUUGAGUGUCUCUUUAUUUAUUGCCUGACUAAUGACCCUACUAACAGACUCUCUGGCACCUGACAAGUAAGUUGCAUCCUUAUCUGAAAAUUCCACUCUGUCAUAGAAAGAUAUUUUCGGGGUUGUUUUUGUUUAAUUGUUAUUGGUUCUUUUACAAAUCUUUGGUAUGCAUAUGAACUGGGACGAUGAGAUGGAGUCUAUAAAUGUGUGUGGUGUUCAAUAAAGGAUGUAUACUGAUUUCACA